Molecule: ribosomal RNA, 262 nt
Filed under: uncultured bacterium
Lineage: Bacteria
Description: partial 16S ribosomal RNA
Rfam family: Bacterial small subunit ribosomal RNA
Source: RNAcentral
CAGCAGCCGCGGUAAUACGUAGGGUGCGAGCGUUAAUCGGAAUUACUGGGCGUAAAGCGCACGUAGGCGGCUUUGUAAGUUAGGGGUGAAAGCCCGGAGCUCAACUCCGGAAUUGCCUUUAAGACUGCAUCGCUUGAAUCCGGGAGAGGUGAGUGGAAUUCCGAGUGUAGAGGUGAAAUUCGUAGAUAUUCGGAAGAACACCAGUGGCGAAGGCGGCUCACUGGACCGGUAUUGACGCUGAGGUGCGAAAGCGUGGGGAGCA